UACGUAGGGUGCGAGCGUUGUCCGGAAUUACUGGGCGUAAAGAGCUCGUAGGUGGUUUGUCGCGUUGUCCGUGAAAACUCACAACUCAAUUGUGGGCGUGCGGGCGAUACGGGCAGACUGGAGUACUGCAGGGGAGACUGGAAUUCCUGGUGUAGCGGUGGAAUGCGCAGAUAUCAGGAGGAACACCAAUUGCGAAGGCAGCUCGCUGGGACGUUACUGACGCUGAGGAGCGAAAGCAUGGGGAGCGAACAGG
Molecule: ribosomal RNA, 253 nt
Filed under: uncultured bacterium
Lineage: Bacteria
Description: partial 16S ribosomal RNA
Rfam family: Bacterial small subunit ribosomal RNA
Source: RNAcentral